AUAUUAAUAAGGGGAGGAAAAGAAACUAACUAGGAUUCCCUCAGUAAUGGCGAAUGAAGUGGGAAUAGCUCAGGUUUAAAAUCUGGUAGCGUCAGCUAUCCGAAUUGUAGUCUUGUGGACGGUCAUCAGGAUGCGCACUGGCAUAAGUCUGUUGGAAUACAGCGCCUCAGAGGGUGAGAGCCCCGUACAUGGUCAGCUGCCGCGUCCCUCCAUGUUGGCUGUUCGUAGAGUCGGGUUGUUUGGGAAUGCAGCUCAAAAUGGGUGGUAUAUUUCAUCUAAAGCUAAAUAUUGGCCAGAGACCGAUAGCGCACAAGUA
This 316-nucleotide ribosomal RNA is filed under the name uncultured eukaryote. RNAcentral describes it as "partial large subunit ribosomal RNA". It matches the Rfam family "Eukaryotic large subunit ribosomal RNA", at positions 40 to 350 of the family's 3401-position model. The record is from RNAcentral.